RNAcentral lists this non-coding RNA (45 nucleotides) under Schistosoma mansoni. Lineage: Eukaryota; Metazoa; Platyhelminthes; Trematoda; Strigeidida; Schistosomatidae. The record is from RNAcentral.
GUCCAGCUAAAGAGUCCCAAAUAGGACUGGACGUGCGUCCUGGAU